CCUACGAGUGGCAGCAGUGAGGAAUAUUGGUCAAUGGGCGAGAGCCUGAACCAGCCAAGUCGCGUGAAGGAUGACGGCCCUACGGGUUGUAACCUUCUUUUGUCAGGGAGCAAUUGGGUCCACGCGUGGGCUUAGCGAGAGUACCUGAAGAAAAAGCAUCGGCUAAAUCCGUGCCAGCAGCCGCGGUAAUACGGAGGAUGCGAGCUUUAUCCGGAUUUAUUGGGGUUAAAGGGUGCGUGGGCGGAAUAUCAAGUCAGCGGUAAAAAGUCGGGGCUCAACCCCGUCGUGCCGUUGAAACUGAUGUUCUUGAGUGGGCGUGAAGUAUGAGGAAUGCGUGGUGUAGCGGUGAAAGGCAGAGAUAUCACGCAGAACUCCGAUUGCGAAGGCAGCAUACCGGCGCCCAACUGACGCUGAAGCACGAAAGCGUGGGUAUCGAACAGGAUUAGAUACCCCGGUAGUC
This 460-nucleotide ribosomal RNA is filed under the name uncultured bacterium. RNAcentral describes it as "partial 16S ribosomal RNA". It matches the Rfam family "Bacterial small subunit ribosomal RNA", at positions 338 to 795 of the family's 1533-position model. The record is from RNAcentral.